Ictidomys tridecemlineatus (thirteen-lined ground squirrel) is the source of this 58-nucleotide non-coding RNA. The record is from Rfam. NCBI's taxonomy places the organism in Eukaryota, Metazoa, Chordata, Mammalia, Rodentia, Sciuridae.
UAGCUCAGUUGGUAGAGUGCUUGCCUCGAAUGCACAAGGCCCUGGGUUCAAUCCCCAG